CAGAAGGAGGUGCUUCUGACUGCCCUCCUUCCACUUGAGAGUCAACACACCCCUUUUCGGCCAGAGACCUGGACGCUUCCUUCUCUCUGUCAGAGCAAUCUAGGAUCACUUCCACCUUGGACUUAAGUUGUCAUUUACUCCACUGGAAGACCUGCAGGCACACAAACACACAAAAAGCAAAUUCUAGCAAAUUUACUGCUUUAGCAGGGGACAAGGUGCUCCAGUGUUCCAGGAUGGAGAAAGGACAUGAGCAGACUUCCUUAUCGUGUGUGCUGGGGCCUGCAGAAAAACUAUUGUCUGAACUGGCCCAAAAGACCCAGUGCUGAAAAAUGGAAUAAAAAUGGAAGAAAGGAACGUCCUCAGGUUUGUGUUCAACACGAGGAAAUAAUGAUCAAUAGUCUGGAACCCAGGGGGUUUUCGUGGAGCAAAGAAUUCAAAAACUGUGACAACCACUGAAAAGGCCCAGCUACUUCCCCAGCCAUGUUAACAGAUCAAGCAUAUGCAGGUCUUCCUUGGCUGAUCUCAAGAGGAAGAUGAGUUCUUACAGUACAUCUGAUUGUCAGACCCUGACAUAGCAUCAUAAAACAAUUUCCUAGGA
This is a long non-coding RNA of Hemicordylus capensis (graceful crag lizard), 598 nucleotides long. RefSeq lists it as uncharacterized. The record is from RefSeq and is a predicted model, not a curated record. Lineage: Eukaryota; Metazoa; Chordata; Lepidosauria; Squamata; Cordylidae. The transcript is spliced from 4 exons.